UGAGUAACACGUAGGUAAUGUACCUUUGGGUGGGGAAUAACUUAGGGAAACUUAAGCUAAUACCGCAUAAUGCGAUAGCGUCUAUGACGCAUUUGUUAAAGAUUUAUCGCCUAAAGAGCAGCCUGCGGCAGAUUAGCUAGUUGGUAAGGUAACGGCUUACCAAGGCUACGAUCUGUAUCCGACCUGAGAGGGUGGUCGGACACACUGACACUGAAUAACGGGUCAG
This 226-nucleotide ribosomal RNA is filed under the name uncultured bacterium. RNAcentral's name for it is "partial 16S ribosomal RNA". It matches the Rfam family "Bacterial small subunit ribosomal RNA", at positions 107 to 334 of the family's 1533-position model. The record is from RNAcentral.